RNAcentral lists this ribosomal RNA (274 nucleotides) under uncultured Archaeorhizomycetes. RNAcentral describes it as "partial 28S ribosomal RNA". It matches the Rfam family "Eukaryotic large subunit ribosomal RNA", at positions 83 to 350 of the family's 3401-position model. The record is from RNAcentral. Lineage: Eukaryota; Fungi; Ascomycota; Archaeorhizomycetes.
GUAGUGGCGAAUGAAGCGGGAAAAGCUCAAGUUUGAAAUCUGGUAGGUAAAACUGUCCAGAGUUGUAAGCUGGAGAGGCGAUGUCCGACGCGGUCCAGGCUCAAUUUCCUUGGAACAGGAGGUCAUGGAGGGUGAGAACCCCGUACAUGGCUUGGGUACCGCCGUCCUUGUGACGCGUCCUCUAAGAGUCGGGUUGUUUGGGAAUGCAGCUCAAAAUGGGUGGUAAAUUUCAUCUAAAGCUAAAUAUUGGCGAGAGACCGAUAGCAAACAAGUA